Molecule: transfer RNA, 70 nt
Filed under: Oscarella lobularis
Lineage: Eukaryota; Metazoa; Porifera; Homoscleromorpha; Homosclerophorida; Oscarellidae
Also listed under: 4 other names
Description: tRNA-Asp
Rfam family: tRNA
About the family: Transfer RNA (tRNA) molecules are approximately 80 nucleotides in length. Their secondary structure includes four short double-helical elements and three loops (D, anti-codon, and T loops). Further hydrogen bonds mediate the characteristic L-shaped molecular structure. tRNAs have two regions of fundamental functional importance: the anti-codon, which is responsible for specific mRNA codon recognition, and the 3' end, to which the tRNAs corresponding amino acid is attached (by aminoacyl-tRNA synthetases). tRNAs cope with the degeneracy of the genetic code in two manners: having more than one tRNA (with a specific anti-codon) for a particular amino acid; and 'wobble' base-pairing, i.e. permitting non-standard base-pairing at the 3rd anti-codon position.
Source: RNAcentral
GGGGUUAUAGUUUAAAGAAAAACGCUUGCUUGUCGAGUAAUUAAUCCGGGUUCGAGUCCCGGUAACCUCG